This 887-nucleotide ribosomal RNA is filed under the name uncultured bacterium. RNAcentral's name for it is "bacterial SSU rRNA". It matches the Rfam family "Bacterial small subunit ribosomal RNA", at positions 75 to 957 of the family's 1533-position model. The record is from RNAcentral.
GGGGGCAACCCUGGCGGCGAGCGGCGAACGGGUGAGUAAUACAUCGGAACGUACCCAGGAGUGGGGGAUAACACAUCGAAAGAUGUGCUAAUACCGCAUACGCCCUGAGGGGGAAAGCGGGGGAUCGCAAGACCUCGCGCUGUUGGAGCGGCCGAUGUCGGAUUAGCUAGUUGGUAGGGCAAAGGCCUACCAAGGCGACGAUCCGUAGCUGGUCUGAGAGGAUGAUCAGCCACACUGGGACUGAGACACGGCCCAGACUCCUACGGGAGGCAGCAGUGGGGAAUUUUGGACAAUGGGGGCAACCCUGAUCCAGCCAUUCCGCGUGAGUGAAGAAGGCCUUCGGGUUGUAAAGCUCUUUCGGCAGGAACGAAACGGCGGGCUCUAACAUGGCCUGUCAAUGACGGUACCUGAAGAAGAAGCACCGGCUAACUACGUGCCAGCAGCCGCGGUAAUACGUAGGGUGCGAGCGUUAAUCGGAAUUACUGGGCGUAAAGCGUGCGCAGGCGGUUUUGUAAGACAGCUGUGAAAUCCCCGGGCUUAACCUGGGAACUGCGGUUGUGACUGCAAGACUAGAGUGCGGCAGAGGGGGGUGGAAUUCCACGUGUAGCAGUGAAAUGCGUAGAGAUGUGGAGGAACACCGAUGGCGAAGGCAGCCCCCUGGGUUGACACUGACGCUCAUGCACGAAAGCGUGGGUAGCAAACAGGAUUAGAUACCCUGGUAGUCCACGCCCUAAACGAUGCCGACUAGGUGUUGGGGAAGGAGACUUCCUUAGUACCGUAGCUAACGCGUGAAGUUGGCCGCCUGGGGAGUACGGUCGCAAGAUUAAAACUCAAAGGAAUUGACGGGGACCCGCACAAGCGGUGGAUGAUGUGGAUUAAUUCGAUGC